CCGGUAGUCCUAGCCCUAAACGAUGUAGACUAGACGUCGGUGGUGUAAUAGCUGUCGGUGUCCAAGCUAACGCGAUAAGUCUACCGCCUGGGGACUACGGCCGCAAGGUUAAAACUCAAAGGAAUUGACGGGUCCCCGCACAAGCAGCGGAGCGUGUGGUUUAAUUCGUUGCUACACGAAGAACCUUACCUGGGUUUGACAUAGCAGUGGUAGGGAAGAGAAAUCGGACCGACCCUUCGGGGAGCUGUUACAGGUGUUGCAUGGCUGUCGUCAGCUCGUGUCGUGAGAUGUUCGGUUAAGUCCGCUAACGAGCGCAACCCGCGUUGUGUGUUAUAUGUGUCACACAAUACCGCCGGUAUUAAGCCGGAGGAAGGUGCGGAUGACGUCAAGUCAGCAUGACCUUUAUAUCCAGGGCUACACACACGCUACAAUGGACAGUACAACAGGUUGCCAAGCCGCGAGGCGGAGCCAAUCCUCUAAAGCUGUCCUCAGUUCAGAUUGCAGGCUGCAACUCGCCUGCAUGAAGUUGGAGUUGCUAGUAACCGCAGGUC
RNAcentral lists this ribosomal RNA (551 nucleotides) under uncultured bacterium. RNAcentral's name for it is "bacterial SSU rRNA". It matches the Rfam family "Bacterial small subunit ribosomal RNA", at positions 787 to 1350 of the family's 1533-position model. The record is from RNAcentral.